AGUGAACGCUGGCGGUAGGCCUAACACAUGCCAGUCGAACGGCAGCACAGUAAGAGCUUGCUCUUACGGGUGGCGAGUGGCGGACGGGUGAGGAAUACAUCGGAAUCUACUUUUUCGUGGGGGAUAACGUAGGGAAACUUACGCUAAUACCGCAUACGACCUACGGGUGAAAGCAGGGGAUCUUCGGACCUUGCGCGAUUGAAUGAGCCGAUGUCGGAUUAGCUAGUUGGCGGGGUAAAGGCCCACCAAGGCGACGAUCCGUAGCUGGUCUGAGAGGAUGAUCGGCCCAAUGGAAACUGAAACCCGUCCCAGACUCCUAGGGAAGGCAGAGGGGGGAAAAAUUGGCCAAUGGGCGCAAGCCUGAUCAAGCCGUACCGGGUGGGUGAAGAAGCCCUUCGGGUUGUAAAGCCCUUUUGUUGGAAAAAAAAGCCGGCGGGUUAUACCCCGCCUGUUCGACGGGAACCAAAAGAGAAGCAACCGCCAACUUCGUG
Molecule: ribosomal RNA, 491 nt
Filed under: uncultured bacterium
Lineage: Bacteria
Description: partial 16S ribosomal RNA
Rfam family: Bacterial small subunit ribosomal RNA
Source: RNAcentral